GCGUGAGUGAAGAAGGCCUUCGGGUUGUAAACCUCUUUCGCCGGUGACGAUAAUGACGGUAGCCGGAGAAGAAGCCCCGGCCAACUCCGUGCCAGCAGCCGCGGUAAUACGGAGGGGGCUAGCGUUGUUCGGAAUUACUGGGCGUAAAGCGCGCGUAGGCGGCCUUGCAAGUUGGGCGUGAAAGCCCGGGGCUCAACCCCGGAGGUGCGCCCAAGACUGCUUGGCUUGAGGCCGAGAGAGGGUGGCGGAAUUCCCAGUGUAGAGGUGAAAUUCGU
Molecule: ribosomal RNA, 275 nt
Filed under: uncultured bacterium
Lineage: Bacteria
Description: partial 16S ribosomal RNA
Rfam family: Bacterial small subunit ribosomal RNA
Source: RNAcentral